GGGCGGCUGGCCUAAUGGUAAGGCGUCUGAUUUCGGCGAGCGAAAGCUCAAGACCUCAGAAGAUUGCAGGUUCGAUCCCUGCGUCGCUCA
This 90-nucleotide transfer RNA is filed under the name Penicillium flavigenum. It matches the Rfam family "tRNA". Rfam says of the family: Transfer RNA (tRNA) molecules are approximately 80 nucleotides in length. Their secondary structure includes four short double-helical elements and three loops (D, anti-codon, and T loops). The record is from Rfam by way of RNAcentral. Lineage: Eukaryota; Fungi; Ascomycota; Eurotiomycetes; Eurotiales; Aspergillaceae.